GUCGCCCUACGAUGUUAGUACUUCUUAAUGUCUUAAACCGAUACUGUUUUUUAGGGAGUUCAACAUACCCUUUCUAACAACAAGCCCUGCAAGCUAGGGGAAGUUGAAGGAUUUGGAGAGGACACCCACCUACGAGAGUAGGUUUUUAAGACAUCACGAGGUACGGCAAAGUGGGAUACAU
This 181-nucleotide non-coding RNA is filed under the name Alkalihalobacterium chitinilyticum. Its description in RNAcentral is "6S RNA". It matches the Rfam family "6S / SsrS RNA". Rfam says of the family: E. coli 6S RNA was the first non coding RNA to be sequenced, but its function was unknown until recently. It consists of 184 nucleotides that fold into an extended hairpin structure with a large single-stranded internal bulge. The record is from RNAcentral. Lineage: Bacteria; Bacillati; Bacillota; Bacilli; Caryophanales; Bacillaceae.